Motacilla alba alba is the source of this 2129-nucleotide long non-coding RNA. RefSeq lists it as uncharacterized. The transcript has 3 exons. NCBI's taxonomy places the organism in Eukaryota, Metazoa, Chordata, Aves, Passeriformes, Motacillidae. The record is from RefSeq and is a predicted model, not a curated record.
UAAGUCUCAUUUGGGGCAUAAAUGAGGCUUUUGAUGGCCGGGGCCUGCGUGCCACAGUCAUGAGACCUCAUCCAGAGGCCGAGCUCAGUCAUGGGAUCCAGGAAACUGAAUUAAAGCAACUUAAGGAGCUUUUUUCCAAGCUCUGCUCUGGUUUUCCACGUGCUUGUCAUAUGAACAAAGACGGUAUAAAAGGGCAGAGGGGAAGGAUCCCCUUGGGCUGGGAGAAGGGACUGCGUUGGGAAAGGAUGCCAGGGACUCUCGGAGGAGUGCGGGGCCGGGCCCGCUGCCCCCUGUGAGCUUCCCUUUGUCAUCCUAUGCCUGAGCGUUCCUGGAGGCUGGGACGGCCAAGGGAGGCCCACGGGCUGCCACAGCCCCGCGGUGACAGCGCCUGGACGGCUCUCGUGGGACCCCGCGCCGGGCUGGGACACCCUGCGGGACUGAAAUGUCCCCUGGAGGGCUGGGAGCCGCCCCUUCGUGGCAAAGCAUUGUCUUGUAGGGGCCAGAGAAUCCGCUUAGGAACAUCCCAGGGGGAUGAAACUCCCAUGGAGGGACCAGAACGUCCUGGAGGAGGGGCUGGGAUGAAUCCCCUUCAUGCGCCAGGAGCACCUCUGGGGAGCUGCAGCUUCCCCUGGGGAAAGCAAAGCAUCCCUUUGGGGUGCCAGAAGAAUGUGGGGAGCUGCAAACACCCGUGGGGAGCUGGAGCAUCCCCCAGGCUGGCUGGUACCCCAGGGGGGUGGGAGGCAGCAGCCAGGCCAUUGCCCAGGAUAUGGAUGGAUUCUGGGGUGUCACGGAGAACCCCUGUCUGGGAAGGAACUCCCAUGGGGGACAUGGACCAUGGGGUGUUAAAUGCAGGGUGGGACCAGGAUGAGGUACUGGGAGCGAUGUCACCAUCCUGGUCAGCCCAUCCCUGUGAAGAUGUGACCCCAUGUGAGGAUGUUCUGGCAGCUCCAGGGAAGCAAGGCCCUGUUCUCCCAGCUCUGUUCCCUUCUCCAGCUUCACAACCCCCCCGGCAGCUCGUGCUGAGGCUGGAAAAGUUCCCAUGGGGAUGCAGAGAAAAUCUCCCCCACGGGGAGCAGGAACUGCUCCUGGGUGCUCAGAUGAGGUGAUGCAGAGCAGGGAGCAGGGAGGGGGGUCUGUGGGGCAGGCUCUGGUCACACCAGCAUCUGGGUUCCAUUUUUUUGGGUUCUUCUCCCAAAACUCAACCCCAUUCACCCAGCUGGGGGUGGGUGGCAGGGCAGGGACCAGCAGGGGGGCAGGGCUGGAGGGUGGGGAUGACCCUGCAGGGCACCCCCGAGCCCCAGGCGGGAUCUGAGCUCGGCUCCAGGCAGCGACCCAGGAGCCCCCGGCAGCCCUGGAGCUGCUCCUGGGCCACAGCUGGCCCUGGGUGGCAGGGGGACACCCAGCAAGGCGUGAGGUCACCCUGGCACCAGGGCAGGUCCCUGUGUCAGCCAGCACAGUGCAGUGUGACCCUGUCACCGGGGACAGGUCCCUGUGUCACCCAGCACAGUGUGGUGUGUCCCUGUCACUGGGGACAGGUCCCUGUGUCACCCAGCACAGUGUGGUGUGUCCCUGUCACCAGGGACAGGUCCCUGUGUCACCCAGCACAGUGUGGUGUGUCCCUGUCACUGGGGACAGGUCCCUGUGUCACCCAGCACAGUGUGGUGUGUGUCCCUGUCACCGGGGACAGGUCCCUGUGUCACUGUCACCCAGCACAGUGUGGUGUGUGUCCCUGUCACCGGGGACAGGUCCCUGUGUCACUGUCACCCAGCACAGUGUGGUGUGUCCCUGUCACCGGGGACAGGUCCCUGUGUCACUGUCACCCAGCACAGUGUGGUGUGUCCCUGUCACUGGGGACAGGUCCCAGCAGCAGGAAGGGCUGUGCCAGGUGACUGUGCCCCGAUGCAGUGACAUGCCCCUGCCUGGCUCUCCUGGGCAGGCGAGGGCCAAGCCCCGUCCCCCUUGUCCCCCUUGUCCCUGCAGGGUCAGUGACAGCCCCACCCUGUGCCCCCCGGCCCAGCUCGUCCCCUCCUCCCCUGGAGUCAGAGCCUCUGUCCCGGGUCCCCUCCUGUCUCUGCAGAGGCUCGGGGGCUCUGAGGGGCUGGGGGCAGUUUGGGGGUCCCUUGCUCAGU